UGGAAAUUCAACAACUACAAACACUUCCUAUAACAUCACUGGUCCUACUGCUGGAGUCAGUUACACAUUAAACAUCACAGCUGUUGCAGCAGAUAACUCAACAGAUGGAGAAUCAGUGGUUACCUCAAAAUACACUAAGCCUGACGUCAUAAUGAACCUCACAGCUGUUGAUAUUACAACAUCCUCUGUCUUUCUAAACUGGAUUAAACCGAAUGGUCAAAGCUCCCAUUAUCGUGUAGAAUAUGAAGAUAAGAAUGUGUCUGCUGAAAACACCUCCAUCAAUAUAAAUGAUCUGAUUCCUGGAGCACAGUACACAUUCAAAGUGUUUGCAGUUGCAGCUGAUAAUGUGACCGAGGGAAGAGCCAAUCAGAUUUCACUGUAUACCAAGCCAGGUGUGAUCAGCAAUCUCAAAAUUACUGAAAUCACAACAUCAUCUGUGUUUCUGACAUGGGAUGAACCAG
Long non-coding RNA from Carassius carassius (crucian carp), 461 nucleotides. RefSeq lists it as uncharacterized. The record is from RefSeq and is a predicted model, not a curated record. The transcript has 3 exons. NCBI's taxonomy places the organism in Eukaryota, Metazoa, Chordata, Actinopteri, Cypriniformes, Cyprinidae.